AAAAAAAUUUAAAAAACUUCCAAAAGUUAUGGAUAAAGCAAUGAGAUUGGAGUUCGAAACUCUCUGUCCUUUGGAAGCUUUGCCUCUAGGUGAUGGAUAAAUUUACAGUAUGGUUAUUCCGCUUAUCAGACAGUGUGUUGAUUUCAAAAUUGCAAAAUAUCAUGAGCGUAGACUUUUAGUGGGAGUAUUUGAUUUCGCUGUGCAUACAUGACGCGUAUCGAUCUGUCUCCGUGCUCCGUAGUUAUUAUCUGCAGUCAGUUGCUACUUUUGUGUGCCCACCAGCUGUUCGACAAAAAUGCCAACUAAUCAAGUUUUUGCUUUGGAAGCCCAGGCGCAUCCCCGAGGAGUGAGAAUACACACGACUACUUGGAGACAGAAGUGUGCGCGUGACAUGAGUGUGCGUUAUGAUUAGCGCGUGGUUGAGGUGGUGUCGUGUUGGACCCUUCCUUAGACCUCUUCUUCAUAAGGUAUGUAUACCGACUUCAUAAUAUUUAAUAACAGAGAUAAUAAGUUCAAUGUGAACAAAAUAAUAUCUAAUUUUAUAGUGACCUUAUUAUUAUUAUAUUAGUAGGAUGACGACGGGUAUGACAUGUUUAUCCAUUAUUCA
Vigna radiata var. radiata (mung bean) is the source of this 607-nucleotide long non-coding RNA. RefSeq lists it as uncharacterized. NCBI's taxonomy places the organism in Eukaryota, Viridiplantae, Streptophyta, Magnoliopsida, Fabales, Fabaceae. The transcript is spliced from 3 exons. The record is from RefSeq and is a predicted model, not a curated record.